GGAGCUUCCAAUCCAACUGAUAGUUUAAUCAGGUUUCAUAGGAGAGAUAUACUAGGCACAACCAUGAAUGAUUAAGCUAAGCUGUCGGUGAUGAUAUUUAAGUAAGAGACUUUCCGAGAUGAAGGGAAGGGUCAAUAUACUAGUAAUGAAGAAGAGAAGGACUAAGAAGUCGAUCAUCAAAAAGAAGAGGUCAUCUGGCGGCAUGGUGGACCUAUGUCCCCUUUGGUAUCAGAUCUUAUUCCUCUCAGGCAUAGUAUCGACAAUUAUUUUAUUAUUCAAGCAUGAUAUCCCUAAAAAAAAUUUGGAAUGUUAGUCGUUGAAGGCCAGUGCUGGAAAAAUCAUUUUUGGUCAACAUUGAAAAGUGUGAAUGAAUUCGUCACUCGCUUGUACGUCAAUGCCGGCUUCACCUUGCUGAUUCAAGGCACGAUCAAAGACCAUGGGCUCCUCUAGUGUGCUACACUUGUGUGUACGAGUCGUGGUUUGGGAAAGAUGCCAAGAUGUGGUUUCCUAUCCCGCACAUCAUAACGUCAUACUGCAACAAAUGAGAAAUCUCCCUUUCUUAGCUGAAUGUCGAGUAAAUUCGGAUUGUGGUUGCCCUAAUGGUUUCCUAUCCCGCACAUCUCAAUAUUUGUCAGGUUCUUCGAGGAGUUGGCAAUGGUUAGCAUAAAGAGCAACACGGGGUUUGCUCAUGUCAAGAUGUAGCCUUCUCACAAUAUUAUGACUGGUUAUCCUUCCAAAAACCAAAACUUUGCACAACAUUUUCUAUAUGAAGAUCAACGAGGCAGCUUUAGCCUAUGUUUGGGCCACUAACAUUCCAUGCUCAAGAUAUCGCGUUAAACGGAAAAGGGCCCCAAAAUCUGGAAUGUGAACCAAGAGAAAACUCCCUAAUUAUGCUGGCUAUUUGGCGAAACUUUGGUGGAAUUUUCCAGAAUCCAAUGCAUAUUUUGGACGACAUAGCGCUGGAUCAACACGAACCGUCCUCUAAGCCAAUUCCUGCCACAAACCCUUCCAAGAAGGCAAGGAAGAAAAAUUCGACUAAGAAAAAGAAAAAAUAUUUUGGCAAAAUUCAAGAAGUCGAUGGAAAUGCUGAAAACAAGGCUUCCCAAGUUGAAGGAGUUAUCAGAGACUAGGUGUGCCGACUUCUACACCGAGUUUUGAGGUUUAGGGUGGUGAAAAACAUUCAACUCUCCCCAUAACUUCAAAGAAAGGAGCCAAUAUGGUAAUUCAUGAUAAGAAUGAAGAACAAGCUCGAAAGAAAGCCAAGACUAUCCCAUUAGUUCAGUGGAGGUCUCAUACUUCAGCACAACUUCUUUUGUGAACAACAGUGAAUCAUGCGUGGACUUGUUCGACCAGUUGAAGGGUGGUGUGAAGGAGUUUCCCGCCGUGACUGACUUGAAAGAUCCGGACAUAUAUUGUGAUGUAGCUCGUAUCGGGAUCCAUAUAAGUAAUAUUUUUCUAGCCAUUUUCUUUCUUGCUUAUAUAUGGUAAAUACAUAUCACUUUUGUGCCUUUGAGUACAUUGUUCAUAUCAAUUAUAUGGUUGUCGACUAUGAGGCUACCUUGGCGAAAAAGGAAGAAGACUUGGAGUGCGCAAAGGAGAUUGCUUGAAGGGUACCAAAGGCCUACCAUACACGUCUACAGGACUCGUCGACAGACCGCCGAGGGUGGAAUCUCGGAAACCUUCCUCCAAAAGUCGUUUAAGAUUUGACAACUUUCUAUUUUGGGUAAAUACCGUGUGACUGGUGUUAUACUAUGAGUAGAACUGGAUAGAUAUAAAACUGUCUUGAACCUCAUGCCUGGGAGAAAAUUUCAGCUUAUUAAAACAUAACUAAUACAUUAAUUGUAAGGCAUUUUGGACAUCAAUUAUUCUAUUACAAUAUACUCUCUAUGUUUCACAUGUCUGCCAAAUUGAGUCUUAGAGGUUCUUCGCUCGAUUUCGAUAGAGAAGAAACCUUUGGUUAUUAUCAAUACAAACCACUGUACAUAGUCAAUUCCAAAUAAAAUACAAAACAAAUCUUUUUUAUAUUUUAGAUAUCUCUGAGCUGUACUUUUCGACAUAAAACAUCACACAAUUAAGAAAAUCCAUGUCGUUAUAUAUCAAUUAGUCAAUAGUAAUAUCUCUUUCAAAAUUGGUAUUGGCCGGUGAGUCGGCUCAAUGAAAAUGUAUAAAUAUGUUUUGUUUAUGUAUAUAUAAUUAUUUUCUUCUCUCCAUAUAUAUUUCGAUGAAAACUUGCACAUGUGAGACCAUGUGAAAACCAUGAGACUUCGGUAAAGACAAACUAUUGCAUUCUCCAUUUAUUAUGUAGCAGUGCCUUAAGACAACUCCUUUCAACUCUGUCCCGUGUUGUAAAUACAUUCAUAGACGCAAUUCUUCCUCUGCCCAUUCAAUCCAUAACUAUGUAUAACUACGUUGCGGCUACCAAGGAAAAAUGAGCCACCUAACAAAAAAUGCGUUAAAUAGGCUAUUGGCAUGCCAAUGAGAUAUGGUCUUAAAAUGCCCCGACCAUGUUAUAAUAAACACACACACUCACAUUAAAUGUUACCAUUUACCAAUAUUUGAAAUCGACCGGAGUUGGAUAAUUUUUAUAUUUUUGAUAUUGGAACUUUGGAUAAGAAAAAAAAUAAGUCAAAGACAAAACUAAUAGAUAAUAAAAAUACUGUGCCACUCUCUCUCUUUUCCAUCAUUAGAGUAUCGUGUAUAAAUAAAACCCCACAUGAGCGCCAGCAGAGGACGACACACAUCAACAAUAUAUCAUCACAAUCAAUACUCUCUUUAUUUAGAUGAAGAAGAAGAACUCGGGCGCCAGAUUUUGCGUCCCUCGUGUAAAAACUAACUUAUCAAGAACCACAGCGGGUGACCGGAACAUCAGUGUCACCCCCAUGACUCUCCUAGACCGUUUUCGUGAAGCCGUUCUCCGCAUCAUCAUGAUCUCUGCCCCCUCCAUUCCUACUCCUCACCGUAGUAAGCCGACUAGAGUAAACUCCCAAAAGUACUAUAACUCAACCGACACAUAUCACAAUGAAGCCGUGGCCGACUGUAUCGAGUUUAUCAGGACCAGCAAGGGCUUCUGUUUUGUUGGGCCAUGUCUUUCUACGUCGAGUCCAUUGCAUGCUUUAACCAAUUCAACGUGAUGAAACGCCGCGUUUUUCAUUUGGGUUAACGAGACAUCAUACUCGCAUCUCCAAAGCUAAUGGGGACUUCGGUUGAGCAGCCGAUUUUCGUCUCCUUCUUCGCGAUGUCAGUAACCGAUUUAUCAUCUUUAAGCACUCAAUUAAUUGAUCACCCACGAUCAAGAUUUAAUACGAGAUUUUUCUUAUGCAAGGCGGUGGAGUUCGACAAUAAAAAGGUAUGAUUUCCUAUCUUCAGAAACAUCAUCUCAUUCAUGGUGUAUCUACAUACUUCCACGGCGUCUCACAUACUCCCAAUCUCCACUUCCCAAACCACUCCCUCCGCCGCUCCUUCUUCCGUCGAAUCUCAACCACCCAUCGCAAUCCCUUAAUUCCCGUCUUCAUCAACCGAGUCUCAGAAACUGUCACGAUCGGAUCUUUGUGCUUUUCCUCACCGAUGUUUGAUCUGUUUUUGUCUCGGCUGUGAUGGUCGGAGUCGUGUUGAUCUGUGCUCACCUAGCGUUUAGGGCUCCGAAAGAUCUUUUCUUGGAUGAGGAAGAGCAAGAUCUUUCCUUUCGUUUAUUUUUAAGUUUAAGAUUCAGGAAAUAUCAUUUCUGUUAAAUUUUAUUUGAUUCCUCGAUUGGUGAUUUAAGCUGUGGAUUGAAUCUAGGGUUAGCGUUCCUUUAAAAUUUUGGAUUCUUUAGAUAGUUUUUCAUUAUACUCCAAUUAAAUCCUCCUUAGACCUCUCAUUGUUCUUAUUCAUUACCAAAACUGAGUUUCCCUCUCUUUUGCUACUUAGGUAAUAACUUUGAUGGCUACACGCUUAUAUCUGUUUGUUAAGUGUUAGUGUGAGUCGUCUGUUGAUUGAUUGUUAAUUAAUAAAAGCAAUUGAACUUGAUAACCUUCACGCCAAACAACUAAAAUGGUUCUGUUUUUUUUUCUUACAGGUUAAAAAUUAAUUUUUAAACAAAUUUUUGACGUUUGCAAGAGCUCAACCUGAAGCAUGCAAGACGGAUAUGUUAUUGCAGAGAGGAUAUGACUGUUCACUACAGGUUUGAAUGUCAGGAUAAUCUUGACAAGGGUUUUGAGACCAACACACCUUUCUCUUGGAUCACAUCCAGUUUCAAGGAGGAUGCUUAGUCUGGUGCUACAACUCAGUCUACUCUUUCUCAUGAAUCUGCUGAGUCGGAUUCCCUUUGAAGACAAGUAUCUUAUCCACUCAUGGGCCCUAGGUUGUGUAAUUUUUAAUAGGUGAUCUGUACAUCAUCAUACCGUGUCGUUUAAUUAAAACAUAACAAAGUUUACUGCCUCUUUGUUUGCGUU
Brassica napus (rape) is the source of this 4430-nucleotide long non-coding RNA. RefSeq lists it as uncharacterized. NCBI's taxonomy places the organism in Eukaryota, Viridiplantae, Streptophyta, Magnoliopsida, Brassicales, Brassicaceae. The record is from RefSeq and is a predicted model, not a curated record. The transcript is spliced from 3 exons.